This 304-nucleotide ribosomal RNA is filed under the name uncultured bacterium. RNAcentral describes it as "partial 16S ribosomal RNA". It matches the Rfam family "Bacterial small subunit ribosomal RNA", at positions 509 to 809 of the family's 1533-position model. The record is from RNAcentral.
CAGCAGCCGCCACGGUAAUACGAAGGGUGCAAGCGUUAAUCGGAAUUACUGGGCGUAAAGCGUGCGUAGGUGGUGGUUUAAGUCCGUUGUGAAAGCCCUGGGCUCAACCUGGGAAUUGCAGUGGAUACUGGGUCACUAGAGUGUGGUAGAGGAUAGUGGAAUUUCCGGUGUAGCAGUGAAAUGCGUAGAGAUCGGAAGGAACCUCUGUGGCGAAGGCGACUAUCUGGGCCAACACUGACACUGAGGCACGAAAGCGUGGGGAGCAAACAGGAUUAGAUACCCGAGUAGUCCCUGUCUCUUACAA